GGGGGAUAAUGUGCCAUUUGGGAAACCCUUGCGCCUCAAUCCCCCGUGAGUGCAGAAGGGUUUCGGAUCGUCAAACCCUUUUCUUUGGGAAGAAAAAAAGACGGUUUCCCCGAAGAAAGACCCUGCACAUCUCGUUCCAGCAGCCGCGGUAAUACGUAGGGGACAAGCGUUGUCCGGAUUUACUGGGCGUAAAGGGCACGCAGGCGGUUUUUUAAGUCAGAUGUGAAAGGUACCGACUCAACCGGUGACAUGCAUUUGAAACUGAAAGACUUGAGUAUUGGAGAGGCUAGUGGAAUUCCUAGUGUAGCGGUGAAAUGCGUAGAUAUUAGGAGGAACACCGGUGGCGAAGGCGGCUUGCUGGACAAAUACUGACGCUGAUGUGCGAAAGCGUGGGGAGCAAACA
RNAcentral lists this ribosomal RNA (403 nucleotides) under uncultured Acetobacterium sp. RNAcentral's name for it is "bacterial SSU rRNA". It matches the Rfam family "Bacterial small subunit ribosomal RNA", at positions 356 to 774 of the family's 1533-position model. Lineage: Bacteria; Bacillati; Bacillota; Clostridia; Eubacteriales; Eubacteriaceae. The record is from RNAcentral.